Molecule: long non-coding RNA, 2232 nt
Organism: Oryctolagus cuniculus (rabbit)
Lineage: Eukaryota; Metazoa; Chordata; Mammalia; Lagomorpha; Leporidae
Source: Ensembl
UAACUACUCGGUAUACACUUGUUGAAUGGAUGGGGGGGGGUGUGUGAACAACCGGAAGCAGAGGGGCCUGGGCCACCCAGGAAGUUGAGUCUGCACUGACCUCAGCGAAGAAAAAUCGCGGGGACAGUAGUAAGACGGGGUGUGGCCCGGACAAAAACUGCAGCGACCUCCCCGUCGGGGAAUCGAACCCCGGUCUCCCGCGUGACAGGCGGGGAUACUCACCACUAUACUAACGAGGACUGGUGCUGCUAGCUAGUGCUCGGGCGGCUCCCUUAAAGGAAUCUCGUUUUUCUCGCGCAUUCUACGGACUCGGAUGCGUUCGCUGGUGGCACGAGCCGUGUUCGGCUUGCGGACGUGGACAUUAGGCGGCCCCCAAUUCCCGCUGGGUCCAAGGCUGCGGCGCUGGGGUGCAGGGUGCGGAAAAGGCAGCCGCAGGGGACCCACACUGCGGACACAAAAGAGGACGCGCCGCGGGGCGGGAGCGAGCUUGCAAAGAAAAGACAAGCUGCCGAAACCCGGGAUCGAACCCAGGGGACCUUUAGAUCUUCAGUCUAACGCUCUCCCAACUGAGCUAUUUCGGCAACUGCUCUGGCUGGCCUCCUUUCGGUCCUCCCUGUCAUGCACACAGCCUGGACCUGCAGUCCCUGGGUUUCAUGUCCGCCCCUGCCCAGCCUUCAAGGUUGCCGCCUCCGCCUUCCAGCGCGGCCCGAGGCUGCCUGCUCAAUGCUGGCUCAUGGCUCACUAUCUUUGUCCCUUACCUGCCAAGGGGAGCAGGGAGGGGGCUGCCUGGGCCACGGCGGUGCCCGAGGGCCUGGACACCCUGGGGCCCGUCUGGGGGGCUUUGUAAAUAUGUGUUGACCCAACCGGCCAGCAGUGAAGGAAUCCCACCUCGCUCGGAGCUUGGCUUCCUCAAGCUCCCUUCUCCACACAAGGCUCACCCUCGGGGCCGGCUUGGGAGGGCGGCGCCGGGGGAUGCCGACCGUGCCGAGGCUUGUGGUCACAGGUGGCCGCCACACCUGUGCGCACCUGCUCAGCUUCCAGUCGAGCAGUUGGAUGUCGGGCACGCAGAGGGCCCCGGAUCCCACCUGCCAGCGGCUUGUCAGUCACUCGGAAGGCACAGGAGCACGCCCCGAGUGGCCACCGCGGCCGGCGCUGACGCGUGCACACUUCUGGAGGCCAGGAGCCCUGAGUCACGGUGCCGGCCAGUGCACACAUCACGGCGCCCCUGGUGAGAGCCCCCAGAUGCUGGCAUCGCACCGGCCUUCCUUCUGCGAAGACGUCCUGUGGCCCGGGCAGGCGCAGCGGUGAGGGCCUCUUUCCAGUCCACGCAGAACCAGCGCCUUGUCCUCGGUCUGCAACUUGACUCUAAAUCAGAAGGUGCUUAGUGCCAACCAUCGGAGAAGCCUGCAGCUGGGAGUUCUCAUCACCGCCGCCUGUCGGUCCUGCUGGGCCAGGCACACGAGGGGACGCCAGCAGGACACACGGGCAGCUCACGUUUCCUGUCCUGGAUCUGACGUUAAGAAAACGCAGCAAGACCCAUUUUCAUUCACCAAGCGGAAGAGAGAUCCUCAGUGAGAGCCAAGGAGCCACCGGGCUGCACCCCACGGAGCAUAGCGGUCUCUCCCCAAGUCCUCCGCGUUAGGGGGCAGACGGCUGUGUGAGCCGUGCAGCGCUGGGAGGGCUCAGUCCGCAUGGCCGUGUGCUGUCCCGUCUCCUCACCCCUGUGCCCCCCUCCCCACUUGGUCCAACAGAGGCACAGCUCUGCCUCCAGACGGUCCUCUCCACUCCUCGCCUUCCUCCUCCAGGCAAACUCUGCAUUUUAAAUUUUUUUCUUUUUCCCCAAAGCAAAUCUCUCUCUGUCUGUCUCUGUCUCUAGGAACCGAGGUGAGACUCACAUAACAUGACCGUCCCCAUUCUAACGUGGCGCUUGGCGCAUCCUGGCUCUGUCUAGUUCCCCAGAAGGGAACCCGCACCCACAUUCAGGCCUCCCCGUGUUCUCCCCCAGCCCCUUGCUACCUGUCCCCAAGAUUUGGGUCAUAAGAAAAAGGGGGGAACCCCAACAAAAUGCAUAAGCGUCACAGGCCAAGCACGAAGUUUGGUCUACUUAGAGUCUAGGAGCAAGCUUUCUCUGUGAAUUCUGGCGAGUCGACUUUGCUCCGCGGGCAGGGCCCUCCCCGUGACCGCGGCUGUGGGUACCUCCGGAUUUUGCCCAGCGACUGGCGGAAUCUAUUU